Molecule: ribosomal RNA, 642 nt
Filed under: Archaeoglobales archaeon ex4484_92
Lineage: Archaea; Methanobacteriati; Methanobacteriota; Archaeoglobi; Archaeoglobales
Description: bacterial SSU rRNA
Rfam family: Archaeal small subunit ribosomal RNA
Source: RNAcentral
CAAUUCUGGUUGAUCCUGCCAGAGGCCGCUGCUAUCCGGCUGGGACUAAGCCAUGCGAGUCAUGGGGCGUGGGCCGCUCUGCGGUUCACGCACCGGCGGACGGCUCAGUAACACGUGGCCAACCUGCCCUCGGGAGGGGGAUAACCCCGGGAAACUGGGGCUAAACCCCCAUAGGGGAUGGGUACUGGAAUGUCCCGUCUCCGAAAGUGCACGGUCACCGUAAGGUACCGUGCAGCCCGAGGAUGGGGCUGCGGCGGAUUAGGUAGUUGGCGGGGUAACGGCCCGCCAAGCCGAAGAUCCGUACGGGCCAUGGGAGUGGGAGCCCGGAGAUGGAGGGCCGGGCAAGGCCGGUGGCAGCCGCCGCGGUAAUACCGGCGGCCCGAGUGGCGGCCACUAUUACUGGGCCUAAAGCGUCCGUAGCCGGGCUGGUAAGUCCCCCGGGAAAUCUGGCGGCUCAACCGUCAGAAUGCCGGGGGAUACUGCCAGCCUAGGGACCGGGAGAGGCCGGGGGUAUUCCCGGGGUAGGGGUGAAAUCCUGUAAUCCCGGGAGGACCACCUGUGGCGAAGGCGCCCGGCUGGAACGGGUCCGACGGUGAGGGACGAAGGCCAGGGGAGCGAACCGGAUUAGAUACCCGGGUAGUC